RNAcentral lists this ribosomal RNA (699 nucleotides) under uncultured bacterium. RNAcentral describes it as "bacterial SSU rRNA". It matches the Rfam family "Bacterial small subunit ribosomal RNA", at positions 141 to 851 of the family's 1533-position model. The record is from RNAcentral.
GGAUACCCGAGGGAAACUUCGGUUAAUACGGUAUAAGACCACACUACCGCAUGGUAGAGGGGUAAAAGGGGCAACCUGGUAUGAGAUGGACUCGCGUCGCAUUAGCUAGUUGGUGAGGUAACGGCCCACCAAGGCGACGAUGCGUAGCCGACCUGAGAGGGUGAUCGGCCACAUUGGGACUGAGAUACGGCCCAGACUCCUACGGGAGGCAGCAGUGGGGAAUAUUGGGCAAUGGAGGAAACUCUGACCCAGCAAUGCCGCGUGAAUGAAGAAGGUCUUCGGAUUGUAAAGUUCUUUAGUCAGGGAAGAAGUCAAUGACGGUACCUGAAGAAUAUGCUCCGGCUAACUACGUGCCAGCAGCCGCGGUAAUACGUAGGGAGCAAGCGUUGUUCGGAAUGACUGGGCGUAAAGGGUGCGUAGGCGGUUGUACAAGUUAGAAGUGAAAUACCCAGGGCUUAACUCGGGUGCUGCUUCUAAAACUGUAUGACUUGAGUGCAGUAGAGGUUAGUGGAAUUCCUAGUGUAGCGGUGGAAUGCGUAGAUAUUAGGAGGAACACCAGAGGCGAAGGCGGCUAACUGGACUGCAACUGACGCUGAGGCACGAAAGUGUGGGGAGCAAACAGGAUUAGAUACCCUGGUAGUCCACACUGUAAACGAUGGAUACUAGAUGUAGGAGGUAUCGACUCCUUCUGCGUCGCAG